AACAUAUCCGGACCUGGAACGGCUAAAUACCCUCG
This 35-nucleotide small RNA is filed under the name Arabidopsis thaliana (thale cress). RNAcentral's name for it is "ATSL229120". Lineage: Eukaryota; Viridiplantae; Streptophyta; Magnoliopsida; Brassicales; Brassicaceae. The record is from RNAcentral.